This is a long non-coding RNA of Rhododendron vialii, 644 nucleotides long. RefSeq lists it as uncharacterized. The record is from RefSeq and is a predicted model, not a curated record. The transcript is spliced from 2 exons. Lineage: Eukaryota; Viridiplantae; Streptophyta; Magnoliopsida; Ericales; Ericaceae.
UUAUUCCCCCUUAGUAAAUAUUUUCACUUUCUCUAAUUUAUGUAUUUGACUGUUUUAUUGUUGGCAGUUUUCACUUUUCAGUACGUGAUCGUUACUCUCAAACGCACUUAAUCGAAAAAUGUCAAGUGACAAGUUUAUGGGCGUCUAUUUUUGUCGAUUGAAUCUUCGGAUACCCUUAGAAUACUUCGGCUCACGAGAGGGGCAGACGGGAAGGGGGUGCCGGGGCUUGCACAACUCCAAAUAUUUUCUUUAAUUGUACUUGUAGCUUUUAGGUUAAUUUAAGAAAGUUAUAUAAAAUUGGCCCAUGUAAAGCCUGGAUGAAUUUUUUCCUUUAAGAAAGUAUAGACGUGUCAAUAGAAUUUUUUGUCGCACUUGUAAAAUAAAAUGAUGGCUACGUAUAUAUGUACAACCUUUGACAUAUCAAGUAGCGAUAUAUUAAUAUGAAAUAUAAUUUUUGUCAUCACUGUAGAAAAAUCGGUAGUUCGGGCCCCCACUAUGUACAAAUCAUGGGCAUGAAAAUUACCAAAAAGGUGGGAAAAUAUAGAAGGGGAAGAAGAUGAUGAAAAAUGAUUGGCAUUUUUGGAGUUUAUGUUGAUUGUGUUUUUUUAUUGUCCAAGGGAUGCUGUGUUUCACAUAAUUAAAAA